This 361-nucleotide transfer RNA is filed under the name uncultured Microcystis sp. RNAcentral describes it as "partial 16S-23S ribosomal RNA intergenic spacer". The stretch from base 136 to 209 matches the Rfam family "tRNA". The record is from RNAcentral. Lineage: Bacteria; Bacillati; Cyanobacteriota; Cyanophyceae; Chroococcales; Microcystaceae.
AAAGGGAGACCUAAUUCAGGUAGGCGACGAAAAAAAAGUAGUCCCAACCAAGAAUCAAUCCCAAAAGGUCGGAGCGAGGCAAAAUUGGCUUUCAAACUAGGUUCUGGGUUCACACAAGACCUGAAUCAGGAACAAGGGCUAUUAGCUCAGGUGGUUAGAGCGCACCCCUGAUAAGGGUGAGGUCCCUGGUUCGAGUCCAGGAUGGCCCACCUGCACAGGUGGUAAAAACAAGAGAAGCGAGGAAUCAGCACCUUAUCUUACUUACAUAGUAAGAGAGAAUGCUGGCUCUGAGUAAAGAGUCCAGAGGAACCUUGAAAACUGCAUAGAGCUAGGUGAAAAAGCCAAAAAAGAAGACCGCAAG